UACGAAAGGGGCUAGCGUUGUUCGGAAUUACUGGGCGUAAAGCGCACGGAGGCGGCCUUGUAAGUUGGGGGUGAAAUCCCGGAGCUCAACUCCGGAACUGCCUUCAAGACUGCAAAGCUCGAGGACGCGAGAGGUUAGCGGAAUUCCGAGUGUAGAGGUGAAAUUCGUAGAUAUUCGGAAGAACACUAGUGGAGAAGGCGGCUAACGGGCGCGUUUCUGACGCUGAUGUGCGAAAGCGUGGGGAGCAAACAGG
RNAcentral lists this ribosomal RNA (253 nucleotides) under uncultured bacterium. Its description in RNAcentral is "partial 16S ribosomal RNA". It matches the Rfam family "Bacterial small subunit ribosomal RNA", at positions 524 to 776 of the family's 1533-position model. The record is from RNAcentral.